This 118-nucleotide ribosomal RNA is filed under the name Candidatus Epulonipiscium sp. Lineage: Bacteria; Bacillati; Bacillota; Clostridia; Lachnospirales; Lachnospiraceae. The record is from RNAcentral.
UUCGGUGACAAUGCGUUUAUGGGACACACUCGUUCCCAUUUCGAACACGUAAGUUAAGACAUAAACGGUCGAUGGUACUUGUCUGGAGACGGACCGGGAGAGUAGAUGGUUGCCGAAU